GUGCUUGCUUGGUGAAUACAAAUACUACAACUGAAACGAUACAGAGAAGAUACUACAGCCCCCAUGCAAGGAUAAUAUACAAAUUCUUAAAGCAUUUAAUUUUUUA
This is a small nuclear RNA of Artibeus jamaicensis (Jamaican fruit-eating bat), 106 nucleotides long. Lineage: Eukaryota; Metazoa; Chordata; Mammalia; Chiroptera; Phyllostomidae. The record is from RefSeq and is a predicted model, not a curated record.